UCCCUGGUAGUAUAUCGGUUUAGUACACGCGCCUGUCAUGCCGUAUGCGAUGAUGUUGUCAUCAGACAAUUGAUCGCGCGAAAGCUGGGUUCGACUCCCAGCCAGGGAG
Molecule: non-coding RNA, 109 nt
Organism: Lentinula raphanica
Lineage: Eukaryota; Fungi; Basidiomycota; Agaricomycetes; Agaricales; Omphalotaceae
Source: the annotation of a GenBank genome assembly